CCCUUUUCCUCUCCAUCUGUCUGUCCGCUUUUCAAACAUGACCGUCUUGGUCGCGCCUGGCAUCGGCUGUGCUGGCACCAGCAUGCCCAUCAGCAGGCGUGACCCUAACUCUGGGGACACCUGCGACGGUGACCCUGGGGACACCUGGCACCAUAGCUGCUGGGCGGAUGGGGGGGCUGCGUGGCGACCCCCUGGGAUCCCGGCGCGGGGCAGGAGCUCCCCACUUCAGUCUGGCUUCCGCUUGCCACGUGCCUCCCCUCCCACCCUCUCCCGCGUCACCCCGUCCCCUUGGGUAGCGCCCCAGCUGGGGGCCCACACUCCUGGCUUCCGGCAGCACUGGCCCCAAGCCGGAAGCAGAACAGAUGACUUUGGAAGACGCCUGCCUUCAACCUUGCUCCCCGUGCCUCCCGCUGUCCUGCCUGAUUUCCAGGAUCUCUGCCCCCGCUCCUCGGGACAGAGACUAUGAGGCCGGCAGUGCCCUCCGAGGUCUCCUCUUCUUCCCCAACGUCCACAUUCUGCAGAUGGGGAAACUGAGGCCCACAAGGGGUCUCGCUUCUCUGAACCUCAGUGUCCCCCCCCACACGUGGAGAUAGUAGAAGUGUCCCCCCCAUAGUGGUGCUGGGAGGCUAAAAUAGGUCCUGGCGGUGGCCAAGGCUUACAGCCUUUUGCAGACGAGACUCAGGUUAAGGCACACGCUUGCCCAAGGGCACAUACUGAGCACCAGGAACAGGGCCUGAACCCUGAGCUGAAGCGGCCAGAAGGGCACAGGGAGUGGAAGAAACAAACGUGCCGCCACUCACCGUGAGCAUUGCCACCACCUGGGCCUCUGAGACGGCUGGCAAGGAGGCACCUUGGAGCAAGGAGUGCCCAGGUUGUGUGGGCCUCUCUCAGUCUCUGUGUCUUCAUCUAUGAAAUGGGACUGCUGUGGAUCGGUGUCCACGGCAGCACGAGCCACGCUCGCCCCCAAAGGCAAAGCACCCAAGUGUCCAUCAACAGUUGAAUGGAUACACAAAUUGUGAUCUACCCAACAGCGGAAUAUAUUCAGCCAGAGAAAGGCGUGAAGCACUCCCACAAAGUACAACAUGGAUGAACCUUGAAGACAUGACGCUGAGUGAAAGAAGCCAGGCACAAAAGGCCACGUGUUGUAUGAUCCCUUUUAAGUGAAAGGUCCAGAAGGGGCAAAUCUGUUUAUAGAGAAGAGUGCAAGCAGAGGAGGCAGACAGAGAGGGAGACACAGAAUCCGAAAGAGGCUCCAGGCCCCGAGCCGUCAGCACACAGCCCGACGCGGGGCUCGAACCCAUGAACUGUGAGAUCCGGACCUGAACCGAAGUUGGCCGCUCAACAGACUGAGUCACCCAGGUGCCCCAGAAUCUGCAUUUUUUAUAAUCUUUUUUUAAAGUGUAUUUAUUUAUUUUGAGAGAGAGAGAAAGAAAGAGAGAGAGUGCACACGUGAGUGGGAGAGGCGCGGAGAGAGAGAGAAUCCCAAGCAGGCUCCACUCUGUCAGCGCAGAGCCCGACUCAGGGCUUGAUCCCACGAUCCACAAGAUCAUGACCCGAGCCGAAAUCAAGAGUCGGGACACUUAACCGCCCGAGCCACCCAGGGAUCCCCGGAAUUUAUAUUUUAAUUGAGUCCUGUGCAUGGUAAAGUGUGAAGAGCGCUGAACUGCACUGAUAAUUCUGUCAUUAUUCUAGGGCAGGGAUUCUCAAAUUUGGCUGCCCAGCAGAAUCCCCUGGAGGGCUUGUUAAAGCACAUACUGCUGGGAUCCACCAAGAAUUUCUGAUUCCAGGGGCCCCUGGGUGGCUCAGCUGGUUAAGCGUCCGACUCUCGAUUUUGGCUCAGGUCAUGAUCUCAUGGGUUUGUGGGUUCGAGCCCCAUAUCUGGUUCUUCCUUGGCCGCACAGAGCCUGUUUGGGAUUCUCUGUCUCCCUCUCUCUCUCUCUCUCUGCCCCUUCCCCCACUCUCAAAAAUAAAUAAAUUAAGCAAACAAAAAGAAUUUCUGAUUCCAGAGCUCUAGGGCUGGGCCUGAGAAUAUGAAUUUCUAAAGCAUCGCCAAGCGAUGCCGAUACUGCUGCUCCAGGGAACCCACUCUGAAAACCACUGCCUCUGGGGUUUAGGAAGGUGCACCUGCCAGUCUCCCAGGCCCGUAUGGGUGGCUAACCACAGAAGAGAGCAGGGAUAGGACGGGCCUUAGGUACUGCAUGUGGAAGUGCCCGGGGAACGUUUACUGUGCCCACUCUAGGGCGCCAAUCCACACAAACUGACGAGAAUCUCAGGGUGGGGCCCGGGCAUCAGCAUUUGGAAAACUCGCCUGGUGACUUCCGGGUGCAGCCAGGGGUGAGCUGCUCCGGUGCUGCCUAGAGGGGAGUGAGCAAAGGGAAAGGAACCCAAGGCACAGGGGAGUGAUCAGUGUCCCACACUCAUGCUUGAUCCAGGCCUGGGCCCCGGACGGCCCCUUUCCCUGGACCAGGGAUUACCAGGCCUGACCUCCCUGUGCACAGGCAGAGAUGAAACUCAGCUCACUGUGCACCCUUUCUGGUUCCAAAUAUGUAAGAGGCUGGGGGAAGGCAGAGGCCCUGGAACAGAGUGAAAUAGAACAGGCUAAAUUGAAAUUGACGACCUCCUCCACUCUCCCUGCAGAGCUUUUCAAAGGCCCUGGCCCCCGCUGGUUCUCCAACCCACCUAUUACCAACUCCCACUAGGAACUGCUCUGUUGCCUGGAUUGUUGGGAUUUUUUUUUUUCUCUUUACAGAACAAUUUAUACUAAGCUGCCUCUAAAUAGAGCUCUUUAAGGUAGGAUUUGGUUAAAGUCGUCCUGUGUUUAAUGGGCUUGGGGCUGGAUGGGGGCACUCUGGUGCUAAUUGCCUAUUAUUCCCCCCCUGAGUCCAGGGUCAGUAUUUCUGCAGCCGCCCACGACUGGUUUCUCCUGGGCCUGCCCACUCACUCUCUGCUGUCUGCCCCCAUUUAUCCGGGAGAUCAGUGGCUCUGGUGCUCAGG
Molecule: long non-coding RNA, 2994 nt
Organism: Acinonyx jubatus (cheetah)
Lineage: Eukaryota; Metazoa; Chordata; Mammalia; Carnivora; Felidae
Exons: 3
Source: RefSeq, a predicted model, not a curated record